UUGACGGAAGGGCACCACCAGGGGUGGAGCCUGCGGCUUAAUUUGACUCAACACGGGGAAACUCACCAGGUCCAGACACGAUGAGGAUUGACAGAUUGAGAGCUCUUUCUUGAUUUCGUGGGUGGUGGUGCAUGGCCGUUCUUAGUUGGUGGAGUGAUUUGUCUGCUUAAUUGCGAUAACGAACGAGACCUUAACCUGCUAAAUAGCCCGUAUUGCUUUGGCAGUACGCUGGCUUCUUAGAGGGACUAUCGGCUCAAGCCGAUGGAAGUUUGAGGCAAUAAC
RNAcentral lists this ribosomal RNA (282 nucleotides) under Amesomyces atrobrunneus. Its description in RNAcentral is "Amesia atrobrunnea partial 18S ribosomal RNA". It matches the Rfam family "Eukaryotic small subunit ribosomal RNA", at positions 1153 to 1457 of the family's 1831-position model. The record is from RNAcentral. Lineage: Eukaryota; Fungi; Ascomycota; Sordariomycetes; Sordariales; Chaetomiaceae.